RNAcentral lists this ribosomal RNA (253 nucleotides) under uncultured bacterium. Its description in RNAcentral is "partial 16S ribosomal RNA". It matches the Rfam family "Bacterial small subunit ribosomal RNA", at positions 524 to 776 of the family's 1533-position model. The record is from RNAcentral.
UACGGAGGGGGCGAGCGUUAUUCGGAAUCAUUGGGCGUAAAGGGCGCGUAGGCGGCCCCGUAAGUCUUGGGUGAAAUCCCCGGGCUCAACCUGGGAACUGCAUUUGUGACUGCAUCGCUGGAGUGCGGCAGAGGGGGAUGGAAUUCCGCGUGUAGCAGUGAAAUGCGUAGAGAUGGGGGAGAACACUCGUGGCGGAGGCGGCCAGCUAGACCAGUUCUGACACUGAGGCGCGACAGCGUGGGGAGCAAACAGG